RNAcentral lists this ribosomal RNA (237 nucleotides) under uncultured bacterium. RNAcentral's name for it is "partial 16S ribosomal RNA". It matches the Rfam family "Bacterial small subunit ribosomal RNA", at positions 496 to 729 of the family's 1533-position model. The record is from RNAcentral.
UCUCUAUGCGGUGUCAGCCGCCGCGGUAAGUACGAAGGGGGCUAGCGUUGUUCGGAAUUACUGGGCGUAAAGCGCACGUAGGCGGAUAUUUAAGUCAGGGGUGAAAUCCCAGAGCUCAACUCUGGAACUGCCUUUGAUACUGGGUAUCUUGAGUAUGGAAGAGGUAAGUGGAAUUCCGAGUGUAGAGGUGAAAUUCGUAGAUAAUUCGGAGGAACACCAGUGGCGAAGGCGGCUUAC